This 69-nucleotide transfer RNA is filed under the name Bucco capensis (collared puffbird). RNAcentral describes it as "tRNA-Asp". The record is from RNAcentral. Lineage: Eukaryota; Metazoa; Chordata; Aves; Piciformes; Bucconidae.
GAGACGUUAGUAAAUCGAUUACGUGGCCUUGUCAAGACCAAGUAGCAGGUGAAAGCCCUGUACGCCUCA